GAUGAACGCUGGCGGCGUGCCUAAUACAUGCAAGUCGAGCGAACAGAUAAGGAGCUUGCUCCUUUGACGUUAGCGGCGGACGGGUGAGUAACACGUGGAUAACCUACCUAUAAGACUGGGAUAACUUCGGGAAACCGGAGCUAAUACCGGAUAACAUAUUGAACCGCAUGGUUCAAUAGUGAAAGGCGGCUUUGCUGUCACUUAUAGAUGGAUCCGCGCCGUAUUAGCUAGGUGGUAAGGUAACGGCUUACCAAGGCAACGAUACGUAGCCGACCUGAGAGGGUGAUCGGCCACACUGGAACUGAGACACGGUCCAGACUCCUACGGGAGGCAGCAGUAGGGAAUCUUCCGCAAUGGGCGAAAGCCUGACGGAGCAACGCCGCGUGAGUGAUGAAGGUCUUCGGAUCGUAAAACUCUGUUAUCAGGGAAGAACAAAUGUGUAAGUAACUGUGCACAUCUUGACGGUACCUGAUCAGAAAGCCACGGCUAACUACGUGCCAGCCGCCGCGGUAA
Molecule: ribosomal RNA, 513 nt
Filed under: uncultured bacterium
Lineage: Bacteria
Description: partial 16S ribosomal RNA
Rfam family: Bacterial small subunit ribosomal RNA
Source: RNAcentral